CUCUGGGUGGUAUAAACGGUUAAUGUGCUUGGUUGUAAACCAAAAAGUUGGAGGUUCUCAUCCACCCAGAGA
Molecule: transfer RNA, 72 nt
Filed under: Loxodonta africana (African savanna elephant)
Lineage: Eukaryota; Metazoa; Chordata; Mammalia; Proboscidea; Elephantidae
Rfam family: tRNA
About the family: Transfer RNA (tRNA) molecules are approximately 80 nucleotides in length. Their secondary structure includes four short double-helical elements and three loops (D, anti-codon, and T loops). Further hydrogen bonds mediate the characteristic L-shaped molecular structure. tRNAs have two regions of fundamental functional importance: the anti-codon, which is responsible for specific mRNA codon recognition, and the 3' end, to which the tRNAs corresponding amino acid is attached (by aminoacyl-tRNA synthetases). tRNAs cope with the degeneracy of the genetic code in two manners: having more than one tRNA (with a specific anti-codon) for a particular amino acid; and 'wobble' base-pairing, i.e. permitting non-standard base-pairing at the 3rd anti-codon position.
Source: Rfam by way of RNAcentral